Molecule: unclassified non-coding RNA, 193 nt
Organism: Apteryx haastii (Great spotted kiwi)
Lineage: Eukaryota; Metazoa; Chordata; Aves; Apterygiformes; Apterygidae
Source: Ensembl
CUUUUUAACACAAAGGAUCCACUCCACAUCCAGCCACACCUAAAGAAAUGCUUUGAAGGAAUUGCCAAGCUCACUUUUAAUCAUGAGAAAGAAAUUACCCACAUGGAGUCAGCAGAAAAUGAAAAAGUAGAGCUCGUGCUGCGAAUAAUUCCAGCAAGUGCCAAGGGGCUAGUUGAGAAAUGGCUUCAUGAGG